GCCUGACUGGCUCAGUCAGUAGAAUACGUGAUUCUUGAUCUUGAGGUCGUGAGUUCAAACCCCACGUUGGGUG
This 73-nucleotide transfer RNA is filed under the name Felis catus (domestic cat). It matches the Rfam family "tRNA". From Rfam's summary of the family: Transfer RNA (tRNA) molecules are approximately 80 nucleotides in length. Their secondary structure includes four short double-helical elements and three loops (D, anti-codon, and T loops). The record is from Rfam by way of RNAcentral. RNAcentral also lists the same sequence under 4 other names. Lineage: Eukaryota; Metazoa; Chordata; Mammalia; Carnivora; Felidae.